RNAcentral lists this non-coding RNA (22 nucleotides) under Arabidopsis thaliana (thale cress). The record is from RNAcentral. Lineage: Eukaryota; Viridiplantae; Streptophyta; Magnoliopsida; Brassicales; Brassicaceae.
UGUAGGUACACCGCAGAGACAU